This 166-nucleotide ribosomal RNA is filed under the name Callogobius okinawae. RNAcentral describes it as "partial 12S rRNA". The record is from RNAcentral. Lineage: Eukaryota; Metazoa; Chordata; Actinopteri; Gobiiformes; Gobiidae.
CACCGCGGUUAUACGAGGGGCCCGAGCUGACAACCCCCGGCGUACAGCGUGGUUAAUAAAUUUAAAACUAGAGCCAAACACCUUCAAAGCUGUCAAACGCGCUCGAAGGUAGGAAGAACCUUAACGAAAGUGGCUUUAAACUUAUGAACCCACGAAAGCUAGAAAA